UUUUUGAUUGUCUCCUUUGUGUGGCGGUCGGGCGCGCAUGAUGGUUAACUCCUACCAACCUCCCCCCUAGGGGCAUGGAUAGUAGUACUUUUCUUCGAGGGCUAAUUAGACUUUUGCCAUAAGUAUGUUAGUUCUUUAUGACUAAUGUGAAUCCAUGGAUUAUAUGCACUCCUAUCUUUUUGUAUUUUGCUAGCCUCUUCAGUACCGUGCCAUGCCCU
This 218-nucleotide long non-coding RNA is filed under the name Hordeum vulgare. RNAcentral describes it as "long non-coding RNA (HVUL_LNC004645)". The record is from RNAcentral. Lineage: Eukaryota; Viridiplantae; Streptophyta; Magnoliopsida; Poales; Poaceae.